GGGACUUUGAAUCCAAUGGUCAGUGACCUGUCCCUAACACUAGGAUUAAGGCUUCAUUACCUGAGAGGGAGUUCAUUGAUGGGAAAUUCUUCAAGCAACUUCCCUGAGGCAGAUGACAGUCAAAAUACAAAGGUUCUGUCCUGGGAAAUCCAGUUUGUCAUAAGAGAUACAGACUUUGGAAUAUGAUGGUGCUGUAAUUUUCAAAAUCAGGCUGCUCAUUAUUCACAAUAGCCAAGACUUGGAAGCAACCUAGGUGCUCAUCAAGGGAUGAAUGGAUAAAGGAGAUGUGCUGUAUAUGCACAAUGGAAUACUACUCAGCCAUGAAGAAGAAUGAAAUCUGGCCAUUUGUAACAACAUGGAUGGACCUUGAAGGUGCAAGAACUUCCAGGACAUUCUUUUCCUCUGACAUGGCAACUGCCAACUUCAAGAAGGUGGCUGCCCUGUCAUCCUGGGUCCUUGAAUGACUGCUAUGAGCAGAGACCUCUUGGCAACUUUGGACAGGCACUUAACAUGUGAGUAUCUGGCUACAUGCCCUGUGGGCAUGUAUCAUGCACGAAAAAUAAACCUUUAUCAUUUUAAGCCACUGAGAUUUGGGAGUUUUUGUUACUGAACAUACACUAGCCUAUCCUGAUUAAUUCAGCAUCCAAGCUUUUGAACCAAGAAGAAGCAAGGACACUGGGAACCUUGAGAUUGCAGGAAGCCUUUGCUGACAUCACCUUUGAGGAAUUAUGGAUCCCUAAUAGUUUUGGUGUUUUGUGAGGAUCUCUAUUUCCGGAGAGCUGCAAUAUGAAGACCCUAAAACCCUGUUGAAGAUUUUUUGAAUUUAAGGACCCUCUCAUGAUCCUAGAGAAUAUGACCUUCAGUACCUGAUCUAUGCCACAACUCCCUAUAGAGAUACUCGAUAGACAUCAAUGCACACUGAAAGGAAGUAACGAGCUGGGGCAAAGAUAUUGCUGCCCUUCCAUCAGCGCUCCCCACCUGAACAGGGCGUUGGGAUUACAAGCAUGCGUUCUGGAGCUGGAUGCUUGGGUUCAAAUUCCAGCUCCAUCAUUUACUAGCUGCAUGGCCUAUGGGCAAAUUUCUUAAU
RNAcentral lists this long non-coding RNA (1087 nucleotides) under Equus caballus (horse). RNAcentral describes it as "lncRNA (ENSECAG00000044099.1)". Lineage: Eukaryota; Metazoa; Chordata; Mammalia; Perissodactyla; Equidae. The record is from RNAcentral.